Molecule: long non-coding RNA, 191 nt
Organism: Impatiens glandulifera
Lineage: Eukaryota; Viridiplantae; Streptophyta; Magnoliopsida; Ericales; Balsaminaceae
Exons: 2
Source: RefSeq, a predicted model, not a curated record
AAAUGGUGCAAGGUAGGAUCAGAUGUACUCAUAGUUUAUUGGAUGUCUUAUUAUAAACAAUUACUUGGAUCUGCAAUUCAAAAAAGUUUCGCUAUUCCUGCUGAACUAUAGAAGGUGUUGAACUGCAGAAGGUUGAUCAAAGAUCUCCAUGAAUAAUACCCCUAGUAAUAAAAGAUACCUUCAUCAUCAUC